This 492-nucleotide ribosomal RNA is filed under the name uncultured bacterium. RNAcentral's name for it is "partial 16S ribosomal RNA". It matches the Rfam family "Bacterial small subunit ribosomal RNA", at positions 29 to 507 of the family's 1533-position model. The record is from RNAcentral.
AGUGAACGCUGGCGGUAGGCCUAACACAUGCAGGUCGAACGGCAGCACAGUAAGAGCUUGCUCUUACGGGUGGCGAGUGGCGGACGGGUGAGGAAUACAUCGGAAUCUACUUUUUCGUGGGGGAUAACGUAGGGAAACUUACGCUAAUACCGCAUACUACCUACGGGUGAAAGCAGGGGAUCUUCGGACCUUGCGCGAUUGAAUUAGCCGAUGUCGGAUUAGCUAGUUGGCGGGGUAAAGGCCCACCAAGGCGACGAUCCGUAGCUGGUCUGAGAGGAUGAUCAGCCACACUGGAACUGAGACACGGUCCAGACUCCUACGGGAGGCAGCAGUGGGGAAUAUUGGACAAUGGGCGCAAGCCUGAUCCAGCCAUACCGCGUGGGUGAAGAAGGCCUUCGGGUUGUAAAGCCCUUUUGUUGGGAAAGAAAAGCAGCAGGUUAAUACCCCGCUGUUCUGACGGUACCCAAAGAAUAAGCACCGGCUAACUUCGUG